GACGAACGCUGGCGGCGUGCUUAACACAUGCAAGUCGAACGGAAAGGCCCUGCUUUUGUGGGGUGCUCGAGUGGCGAACGGGUGAGUAACACGUGAGUAACCUGCCCUUGACUUUGGGAUAACUUCAAGAAACUGGGGCUAAUACCGGAUAGGAGCUCCUGCUGCAUGGUGGGGGUUGGAAAGUUUCGGCGGUUGGGGCUGGACUCGCGGCUUAUCAGCUUGUUGGUGGGGUAGUGGCUUACCAAGGCUUUGACGGGUAGCCGGCCUGAGAGGGUGACCGGCCACAUUGGGACUGAGAUGCGGCCCAGACUCCUACGGGAGGCAGCAGUGGGGAAUAUUGCACAAUGGGCGGAAGCCUGAUGCAGCAACGCCGCGUGCUGGAUGACGGCCUUCGGGUUGUAAACCGCUUUCGCCUGUGACGAAGCGUGAGUGACGGUAAUGGGUAAAGAAGCACCGGCUAACUACGUG
This 468-nucleotide ribosomal RNA is filed under the name uncultured bacterium. RNAcentral's name for it is "partial 16S ribosomal RNA". It matches the Rfam family "Bacterial small subunit ribosomal RNA", at positions 28 to 507 of the family's 1533-position model. The record is from RNAcentral.